Molecule: non-coding RNA, 32 nt
Filed under: Mus musculus (house mouse)
Lineage: Eukaryota; Metazoa; Chordata; Mammalia; Rodentia; Muridae
Source: RNAcentral
GCUGCUUUUAUAGCCUUGAAGGGCACUGUGGA